This is a long non-coding RNA of Lycium ferocissimum, 605 nucleotides long. RefSeq lists it as uncharacterized. The transcript is spliced from 2 exons. NCBI's taxonomy places the organism in Eukaryota, Viridiplantae, Streptophyta, Magnoliopsida, Solanales, Solanaceae. The record is from RefSeq and is a predicted model, not a curated record.
AACUGUAGUCAUUGCUUGGUCACAAAUGCAAUGAGUCUCCGCUAUAAAUUCCCUCUUCUCUGGUUUACUCAAACAUCAAGCAAAUAGCAAACAACCAAACACACAUUUCAAAUUUUCAAAGACUAAUUAGCAAUAUUUCUCUUAGGAUCAAAUUCCAAUUAUGGCAUCCAUGGGAUUUAGCUAUGCCCAUCUUCAUGUUCAACAAAAAUGCCUUAAAGAGAAGUCGAAGAGAUUGGAGGAGGAAAAUGCUCGAAGUAGUAAUAAUGAGUGUGGCAGCACGGUGAAAAAAUUAACCGCGGAGGGUAAACGUAGUAAGGGUAAGAAAAUUUACCCCGGUGGAUUUGCUUCAGUGGAUUCUAAUGAGAACUUUGGUGAAAAUAAAAAGCAGUAGUAAUUUUAUGUAGCAAGGGCAUUGUGUACUUUCACUCUCUCCUCUUUUUUUUUUUGGGUUGUUGUUGUUGUUAUUGUAGUAGUUGUUGUUGUUAAAUUUGUCUUCUUUUUUUUUUUCUUAAUUUGUGCAUGUAAAAUGUAGUAGUCCGAAUAUUAUUGUUUGAGCCCUAGCAUGGUGGUUAUACUAAUAAAAGAAUAAAGUCCAAAUUGCUGCA